CGAUCCCGCAAGGGAUAGUGGCAGAAGGGUUAGUAACGCGUGGGUAAUCUACCCUCGGGCGGGGGAUAACCUUCCGAAAGGAGGGCUAAUACCGCAUAAAAUUACGGUUUCGCAUGAAGCUGUAAUCAAAGAUGGCUCGCAAGGGCGAUCACCGGAGGAUGAACCUGCGUCCUAUCAGCUAGUUGGUGAGGUAACGGCCCACCAAGGCUUUUGACGGGUAGCUGGUCUAAGAGGACGAUCAGCAACACUGGGACUGAGACACUGCCCAGACUCCUACGGGAGGCUGCAGUCGAGGAUCUUUAUCAAUGCCCGAAAGGGUGAAUAUGCGACGCCGCGUGCAGGAUGAAGGCCUUCGGGUUGUAAACUGCUGUCAGGGGUGAGGAAAUCCCGUAUGUUAAUAGCAGACGGGGCUGACGUUAACCCCAGAGGAAGCCACGGCUAACUCUGUGCCAGCAGCCGCGGUAAUACAGAGGCGGCAAGCGUUGUUCGGAUUUAUUGGGUGUAAAGGGCAGGUAGGCGGUUGAUUAAGUCCGCUGUGAAAUCCCAGGGCUCAACCCUGGAACUGCAGUGGAAACUACUCAACUUGAGAACCGGAGGGGUGAGGGGAAUUCUCGGUGUAAGGGUGAAAUCUGUAGAUAUCGAGAGGAAUACCAGUGGCGAAGGCGCCUCACUGGACGGUUACUGACGCUGAGCUGCGAAAGCUAGGGGAGCAAACAGGAUUAGAUACCCUGGUAGUCCUAGCCGUAAACGAUGUAGAUUAGGUGUUGGGAGUGUCGAUCCUCCCGGCGCCGACGUUAACAC
Molecule: ribosomal RNA, 801 nt
Filed under: uncultured bacterium
Lineage: Bacteria
Description: bacterial SSU rRNA
Rfam family: Bacterial small subunit ribosomal RNA
Source: RNAcentral